Molecule: ribosomal RNA, 384 nt
Filed under: uncultured bacterium
Lineage: Bacteria
Description: bacterial SSU rRNA
Rfam family: Bacterial small subunit ribosomal RNA
Source: RNAcentral
AGAGUUUGAUCCUGGCUCAGGAUAAACGCUGGCGGCGUGCCUAACACAUGCAAGUCGAACGUCCUCUGGCUUCGGCUAGAGGGAGUGGCGGACGGGUGAGUAAUACGUGGGUUAUCUACCUUGUGGUGAGGAAUACCGGCGAGAAAUCGCCGACAAGACCGCAUACGCUUCGCAAGAAGCAAAGUCCCGUCAGGGAUGCCACAAGAUGAGCCUGCGGCCGAUUAGCUGGUUGGUGGGGUAAGAGCCUACCAAGGCGACGAUCGGUAGCUGGUCUGAGAGGAUGAUCAGCCACACUGGGAUUGAGAACGGCCCAGACUCCUACGGGGGGCAGCAGUGAGGAAUUUCGGCAUGGACGUAAGUCUGACCGAGCAACGCCGCGUGCAG